This 380-nucleotide ribosomal RNA is filed under the name Acidiferrobacteraceae bacterium. Its description in RNAcentral is "bacterial SSU rRNA". It matches the Rfam family "Bacterial small subunit ribosomal RNA", at positions 1 to 361 of the family's 1533-position model. The record is from RNAcentral. Lineage: Bacteria; Pseudomonadati; Pseudomonadota; Gammaproteobacteria; Acidiferrobacterales; Acidiferrobacteraceae.
UUGAACCGGAGAGUUUGAUCAUGGCUCAGAUUGAACGCUGGCGGUAGGCUUAACACAUGCAAGUCGGACGGCAGCAGACCGUAACAAUCCCUUCGGGGUGCGUUUGGUGCUGGCGAGUGGCGGACGGGUGAGUAAUACGUAGGAAUCUGCCCAACAGUGGGGGACAACCCGAGGAAACUCGGGCUAAUACCGCAUACGCCCUACGGGGGAAAGCGGGGGACUUUAGGGCCUCGCGCUGUUUGGAUGAGCCUGCGGCGGAUUAGCUUGUUGGUGAGGUAAGAGCUCACCAAGGCGACGAUCCGUAGCUGGUCUGAGAGGAUGAUCAGCCACACUGGGACUGAGACACGGCCCAGACUCCUACGGGAGGCAGCAGUGGNGAA